ACUCAACGAGCUUUAAUUUAAGAGAGGUGAGUUUCAAUUGUAAAAGCAAGCUACCUUGAGUAGAUCCUUAACCAGUUGUGUAGCCUCAAUCCUAUUUUUUUUGGAGUUU
Molecule: small RNA, 109 nt
Filed under: Flavobacteriaceae bacterium
Lineage: Bacteria; Pseudomonadati; Bacteroidota; Flavobacteriia; Flavobacteriales; Flavobacteriaceae
Description: 6S RNA
Rfam family: 6S-Flavo RNA
Source: RNAcentral